RNAcentral lists this long non-coding RNA (2134 nucleotides) under Homo sapiens (human). RNAcentral describes it as "HSALNT0391165". Lineage: Eukaryota; Metazoa; Chordata; Mammalia; Primates; Hominidae. The record is from RNAcentral.
AAAUGUGAACAUUUUAGCAUGUUCGUGUUAUAUUGUUUUUUUUGUUUUUUGGGGGGGGUUUUUUGUUUUUUUUUUUUUUGAGACGGAGUUUCGCUCUAUCACCCAGGCUGGAGUGCAGUGGCGCGAUAUCAGCUCACUGCAACCUCCACCUCCCAGGUUCAAGCGAUUCUCCUGCCUCAGCCUCCCAAGUACCUGGGACUACAGGUGCGUGCCACCACACCCAGCUAAAUUUUGUGUUUUUAGUAGAGAUGGGGUUUCACCAUGUUGGCCAGGAUGGUCUUGAACCCCUGACCUCAUGAUCUGCCUGCCUCGGCCUCCCAAAGUGCUGGGAUUACAGGCAUGAGCCACCACGCCCAGCCAAAAUAUUUUUUUAAAGUCAUUUUCCUUAAGCUGCUUGGGCUACAUGUGAAAUACACUGGACGGUCAACAUUCCUGUCUCCUCCCAUUUGGGCUGAUGCAGCAGAUCCAGGGAAUGUUACCUGUUUCUGCUGCUAGAAGAUCCAGGAAAUUGGGAAGGUUACCUGACGCACACAUGGAUGAAGGCCAUCAUCUAGAAAUGGGGUCAACCACAAUUGUGUUAAUUCCGUAGUGUCAGGGAUUCUUCGGGAAGGUCAACAGUAUGAAGGAUUCUGACCCCUGUGCCUCCCAUUUAUGUGAUCAGGUGACAGUUAAUAACCGUGGAGGUCACACUCAGCCAUCCAACAGCCUUACAGUGACCCUACACAAAAGCCCCCAAAUUCCAAAGACUUUUUCUUAACCUAAAGGAAGAAAUUAUUUGUUAAUUCCAGUAGAGCAACUGAAUAUACUGGGCUAUUUGUACUUUUUUAUAGAGAACUUUAAUAAUAAUUCUUUAAAAAUGAGUUUUUAGAACAAAGCAACUGACGAUUUCCUAAGAUUCCAAUGCCCUGGAGCUUGUAGGAGGACUUAGCCUGGGUCAGCUGGAGCACCCCCGACCUGAUCUCCCACUGCCAGAUUUUCCCAUGCUCCUAGGGUAUGGAGUCCACGUGGGAAUGACUGCAAGUUCAGGUGGAACUUGGCCGACUGAUGCUCUGCGAGUUUUUAAUAGACACUGGGGACAACUGCUUAAGGUUUAGAAACUUCCAAACCACAGGAAAGACAUUUUUAGUGUCCCCCAUCCAGAGGCAGCCCUGGAAUAGGAUUCCCAGGGGUUUCUGGGACCCCUUUCCUUGCUCCGUGAGGCUCUGUGGCCAUCUUUUGGCAGGAGGAGGAUGCUUCCUUGGCUCUGUGCCCAGACCCGCCUGGUCCCCAGGUCUCUCACCUUGGGUGAAGAUUCAGAGAUGCCCUGUAAGGAUUUUGCCCACUGGGCAACUCAGAAAUACUUCGAUCUCCCAAGAUAUAAGAGGCAGCAGCAAACGUGCCUAUUGACGUCUGUUUCAUAGUUACCACUUACGCGAGUAGACAGAACUCGGCUUUUCAGAAAAUAGGUGUCAAGUCCACUUUAUAAGAACCUUUUUUUCUAAAAUAAGAUAAAAGGUGGCUUUGCAUUUUCUGAUUAAACGACUGUGUCUUUGUCACCUCUGCUUAACUUUAGGAGUAUCCAUUCCUGUGAUUGUAGACUUUUGUUGAUAUUCUUCCUGGAAGAAUAUCAUUCUUUUCUUGAAGGGUUGGUUUACUAGAAUAUUCAAAAUCAAUCAUGAAGGCAGUUACUAUUUUGAGUCUAAAGGUUUUCUAAAAAUUAACCUCACAUCCCUUCUGUUAGGGUCUUUCAGAAUAUCUUUUAUAAACAGAAGCAUUUGAAGUCAUUGCUUUUGCUACAUGAUUUGUGUGUGUGAAGGACAUACCACGUUUAAAUCAUUAAUUGAAAAACAUCAUAUAAGCCCCAACUUUGUUUGGAGGAAGAGACGGAGGUUGAGGUUUUUCCUUCUGUAUAAGCACCUACUGACAAAAUGUAGAGGCCAUUCAACCGUCAAACACCAUUUGGUUAUAUCGCAGAGGAGACGGAUGUGUAAAUUACUGCAUUGCUUUUUUUUUCAGUUUGUAUAACCUCUAAUCUCCGUUUGCAUGAUACGCUUUGUUAGAAACAUUAAUUGUAGUUUGGAAGCAAGUGUGUAUGAAUAAAGAUAAUGAUCAUUCCUUUGUGUAGUUGGCCUUAUUUACAUCCCUUUGCGGUAUG